This 303-nucleotide ribosomal RNA is filed under the name uncultured bacterium. RNAcentral's name for it is "partial 16S ribosomal RNA". It matches the Rfam family "Bacterial small subunit ribosomal RNA", at positions 507 to 807 of the family's 1533-position model. The record is from RNAcentral.
AGCAGCCGCCGCGGUAAUACGUAGGGUGCAAGCGUUAAUCGGAAUUACUGGGCGUAAAGCGUGCGCAGGCGGUUAUAUGAGUCAGAUGUGAAAUCCCCGGGCUCAACCUGGGAACUGCAUUUGAGACUGUAUGGCUAGAGUGUGUCAGAGGGGGGUAGAAUUCCACGUGUAGCAGUGAAAUGCGUAGAUAUGUGAAGGAAUACUGAUGGCGAAGGCAGCCCCCUGGGAUAACACUGACGCUCAUGCACGAAAGCGUGGGGAGCAAACAGGAUUAGAUACCCCCGUAGUCCCUGUCUCUUAUAC